RNAcentral lists this long non-coding RNA (2041 nucleotides) under Macaca fascicularis (crab-eating macaque). Its description in RNAcentral is "lncRNA (ENSMFAG00000048001.1)". The record is from RNAcentral. Lineage: Eukaryota; Metazoa; Chordata; Mammalia; Primates; Cercopithecidae.
UAAAUCAAAUAAUUUAAUCAAUAUUCACCCACUCUAAUUUAUAUCCAGCUUGAAAAACACUGUAUAUUUAGAGAAAGGAUUAGAGUGACCAGUUUCAUUAUCCUUAUCUGCAUGGGCCAAAUCUUUGGGAAUGCUUUUUCUACUAGAUAAUACAUGUUCUUGAGGAGAGAAAAUCCUACGCUGCUUUGCAGGUCAACAUUUUGAUGGUAGAAAACAAAAUCUAGCAAACAAUCAUCUAUUACAUAGUACUUCACAAAGGAAAUACUGCUAAGACUUAUAAAUGGAAGCCUAGCCACGUUACUGUUAGGAAACGAAUGUGGCCCUGGAGCAGACCCAUCAGUCCAUGUUUUAUGAACAGAUUGAAUGUGUCAUUAGCAUCUACCGUUGUUUAUUACAAUGUAGGUUUAAUAGUUGGUCCUCCACUCAGCUCAGAUUCUCAAUAGCAGGCAGCAUGCUUAUCUGUCUUCGUAUCUCCAAGGACUGGAAAGUAGUUGUAACCCUUGACAUACAGUAGGUACUUCAUAAAUGCUUAUCAAAAGACUGAAAAAGGACAAACAUAGAGAAAAGUAUAUUUACUAGACUUCCAUAAUCCAUACUUACUUAAAAUCCAAUCUAGAAAUAACAUGACUUAUAUUAGGCAAUAUACUUUGAAGACCUGUACAACAGCGUAAUCACAGCAGGGUCUUGCUAACUCACAAGUGUGUUCCAGGCAUACAUGCUGCAAAAACCUCUCUCCUGGGGUCCCAGGGGCUUUCAAAUGUUCCACCAGGGGCAGUCAAGACUAGAUUAACGGUGCUCUCUUCAUCAUGCGCACGAAAUGUUUUCCCAUAACACCAUAUUAUCACAAGUCUAUGAACAAUUCUGGUUUGCUAAGGUAAGCAAUAUAGAACUCUUUCCAAAUAAUAGUAUUUCAAUUAUGCCACGUAAGUAAACAAUUUGCUGUGAACUGUCCUGUGUUCUAAUCAUUUAAUACAUUGCUUCUAUAAGAAAAUACUAUUUGUUAAAUUUUAGUCGUAAUUUAAUAUCAUUCUCAUUAUAGAUUGCAGAUGCAAAUAAUAGUGAACAAAAUGUUUAUCUCAAUUUUUCUUUCACAUUUUUAUGCUUUGAAAAUUCAGAAUGGAUAAAAACAAAUGAAGUACAAAAUAUUUCAGAUGUACAUAGUGAUAAACAAGAAAGCGCUUAAGAUUAUCAGGAGGACUUACAAAUGGAAGUAUACUCUAGAACCAUCAUCUAUCAUGGCUAAAUGUGAGAUUAGCACAGCUGUAUUAUUUGUACAUUGCAAACACCUAGAAAGAGAUGGGAAACAAAAUCUUAGCAGUUUUGUAUGUGGAGUCCUGGGUUUUCCAACAGACAUCAUUCCAACAUUCUGAGAUUAAAGUGACUGGGGAUCGUUUUGGAGUUGGAAUGUUUAACAAAAGUGAUGUUGUUAGGUAAAAUGUCCAACUUCUGGAUCUAUGCAGACAUCAAAGGUGCAAUGAGUCUGGCUUUCACUCUGCUGUUUCUUUCACACUUUAGAUUUUAAAGUAAGUCUCAAGGAAUUUUUCUUUCCAAUUUGAGAACUCACUUUAAAAUGGAAACACGCAACGAAAAACAGAUGCUGCUUUCCAGAACUCCACUGUCAUAAAAUACAAUAUUUGCUAAAGAGAUUUAAAAAUUAGAAUGCUUAUUUCUUGCAAAGUACACCAUGGAAAACCCUGGGGGGGAAAUUCUUGACAAAUGUAUCCAUUAACUGCAUUUAAAACUUCUGAUUGCCUUUUUUGACCAUGUUAUUGCUAAACAGCAAAACAAACAAAAAAACAAAAACAAAAACAAAAGCAAAAACAAAAAAAGCCUACAUCCCAGCUAGAUUUCUUCCUUUAGAAUAUGGUAGUGUCUUUGAUAUUUUGUACCAUGUGUAAUAGUUUAAAUAGUAAAGAAGUGACCAUGCAUCAAGCUGAAGGUACUGAGUGACUAAUGCUCAAGAGCUAGCUCUUUAAAACUAUAAAUAUGGUUACUGUAUUAUGAGUAUAUCCACUAAUGUCUCAUAAGAUACUCUUAAUGA